GACAUCCUUCCUUCAUACUGGAGUCUUUGCCCAGAGUGUGACCCUGUCAUCUCAGAUGCCAUGUGCCACAGCACCGGGAAGAGAACGGGGCUGAAUGUUAACAAGAAAGUGGAAGGAAGCUCUGUCUGAAGAGAAACAGGAGGCCAGCACCAGCUGCACACCUGGGAUCCCAGCCCUCGGGGAGCUGGAGGGACAAGCAGAUGUGACAUUCAAGGUCAGCUUGGACUACCUGAGAUAAUUUAGCUCAUAAACAAAACCACGCAAACAAAAGAAAGCCACGUGGAGGCAGGAGGCUCCCCUAAGAAGCAGGAUUUAUGCAUAUCUCCUGCUCUGCUUGGCCUGGGAGCUUUCCCCACUUUGCCUACAGGCAUCCAGAUAAUGAGUUUGUGUUCCUUGUGUUAAGAGGCACAUCAGCUCCCUAUCAGACUGGCCUUCCCGGUGCUCUACUGAGCACAGAAGCACUUAUUGUUAUCUCUCACCAAUCUUGUACCCCUUGUAGACUUGCCAUUCCUUUCCAACUUCAAUAAGUUUCUCCUUAAAUAACCUUGUCUAAUUAAGUUCUCCUCCCCAACACCCCGCAUAAGUCCCAAUCUGUCUUACAGCCCUUCAGUCCUAAGACUCCAAUAAAGUUCUUUGUUCUUUACUGA
Molecule: long non-coding RNA, 647 nt
Filed under: Mus musculus (house mouse)
Lineage: Eukaryota; Metazoa; Chordata; Mammalia; Rodentia; Muridae
Description: predicted gene, 35584 (Gm35584)
Source: RNAcentral